Molecule: ribosomal RNA, 258 nt
Filed under: uncultured bacterium
Lineage: Bacteria
Description: partial 16S ribosomal RNA
Rfam family: Bacterial small subunit ribosomal RNA
Source: RNAcentral
GUCCACGCCGUAAACGAUGUCUACUAGUUGUCGGUUGUCUUGUACGACGGGUAACGCAGCUAACGCGAUAAGUAGACCGCCUGGGGAGUACGGCCGCAAGGUUAAAACUCAAAUGAAUUGACGGGGGCCCGCACAAGCGGUGGAGCAUGUGGUUUAAUUCGAAGCAACGCGAAGAACCUUACCUGGCCUUGACAUCCUGCGAACUUUCUAGAGAUAGAUUGGUGCCUUCGGGAACGCAGAGACAGGUGCUGCAUGGCU